Long non-coding RNA from Ictalurus punctatus (channel catfish), 574 nucleotides. The record is from Ensembl. Lineage: Eukaryota; Metazoa; Chordata; Actinopteri; Siluriformes; Ictaluridae.
CAAACAUUUCCCAAAUAGCAAACUGCACUGUGCCAAGCAGCGGGCAGAGCCCGAGCAUCUGUUUCAGCCCUGCUUCAGGGUCACCAUAGCCAGAGUGAAUGCUGAAGGGCCUUCGUAGGAGCCGUGUCCACUGGCAGGUGCUUUUACUCAGUCAGAGUCAGAAUCCAAGUCAAGCCUCAAGCUGAUCUAAGGGCUCAGCAGUGGCUCUCUGGCGCUCAUGGGAUUUUCACUCGAUGCCUUCCGGUUAUUAGCUUCCAGUAUCCAGAUGAUACCCGACGGUGAGCUGACUAUGAAGUCCUGACUGACCUCACCUGUCUGAUCAGAUCUUCUGAACUAUUGUGGUCUAACACCAUUAUUCUUGGUUUCUUCUGAAUUAAUGGCUCAUGCUGUGUCUCUUGGUUUCAGUUGCACCAUAUUAAUCUGAUUCUCACCAAUUCGGCAAAUAUUAUCUAGAGGCCAUUAAGGAGAAAAGAUAUUUAACAAAUUCUGUGAUAGACCAAACUAGCCAGCUACUACACUACAAUAAAUAUUUAAGCCAUUAAAUCAUACCUUGUGAACAAAUGGAAUAACAAAA